UUAAGCGACUAAGCGUACACGGUGGAUGCCCUGGCAGUCAGAGGCGAUGAAGGACGUGCUAAUCUGCGAUAAGCGUCGGUAAGGUGAUAUGAACCGUUAUAACCGGCGAUUUCCGAAUGGGGAAACCCAGUGUGUUUCGACACACUAUCAUUAACUGAAUCCAUAGGUUAAUGAGGCGAACCGGGGGAACUGAAACAUCUAAGUACCCCGAGGAAAAGAAAUCAACCGAGAUUCCCCCAGUAGCGGCGAGCGAACGGGGAGCAGCCCAGAGCCUGAAUCAGUAUGUGUGUUAGUGGAAGCGUCUGGAAAGGCGCGCGAUACAGGGUGACAGCCCCGUACACAAAAAUGCACAUGCUGUGAGCUCGAUGAGUAGGGCGGGACACGUGGUAUCCUGUCUGAAUAUGGGGGGACCAUCCUCCAAGGCUAAAUACUCCUGACUGACCGAUAGUGAACCAGUACCGUGAGGGAAAGGCGAAAAGAACCCCGGCGAGGGGAGUGAAAAAGAACCUGAAACCGUGUACGUACAAGCAGUGGGAGCACGCUUAGGCGUGUGACUGCGUACCUUUUGUAUAAUGGGUCAGCGACUUAUAUUCUGUAGCAAGGUUAACCGAAUAGGGGAGCCGAAGGGAAACCGAGUCUUAACUGGGCGUUAAGUUGCAGGGUAUAGACCCGAAACCCGGUGAUCUAGCCAUGGGCAGGUUGAAGGUUGGGUAACACUAACUGGAGGACCGAACCGACUAAUGUUGAAAAAUUAGCGGAUGACUUGUGGCUGGGGGUGAAAGGCCAAUCAAACCGGGAGAUAGCUGGUUCUCCCCGAAAGCUAUUUAGGUAGCGCCUCGUGAAUUCAUCUCCGGGGGUAGAGCACUGUUUCGGCAAGGGGGUCAUCCCGACUUACCAACCCGAUGCAAACUGCGAAUACCGGAGAAUGUUAUCACGGGAGACACACGGCGGGUGCUAACGUCCGUCGUGAAGAGGGAAACAACCCAGACCGCCAGCUAAGGUCCCAAAGUCAUGGUUAAGUGGGAAACGAUGUGGGAAGGCCCAGACAGCCAGGAUGUUGGCUUAGAAGCAGCCAUCAUUUAAAGAAAGCGUAAUAGCUCACUGGUCGAGUCGGCCUGCGCGGAAGAUGUAACGGGGCUAAACCAUGCACCGAAGCUGCGGCAGCGACGCUGAUGCGUUGUUGGGUAGGGGAGCGUUCUGUAAGCCUGUGAAGGUGUGCUGUGAGGCAUGCUGGAGGUAUCAGAAGUGCGAAUGCUGACAUAAGUAACGAUAAAGCGGGUGAAAAGCCCGCUCGCCGGAAGACCAAGGGUUCCUGUCCAACGUUAAUCGGGGCAGGGUGAGUCGACCCCUAAGGCGAGGCCGAAAGGCGUAGUCGAUGGGAAACAGGUUAAUAUUCCUGUACUUGGUGUUACUGCGAAGGGGGGACGGAGAAGGCUAUGUUGGCCGGGCGACGGUUGUCCCGGUUUAAGCGUGUAGGCUGGUUUUCCAGGCAAAUCCGGAAAAUCAAGGCUGAGGCGUGAUGACGAGGCACUGCGGUGCUGAAGCAACAAAUGCCCUGCUUCCAGGAAAAGCCUCUAAGCAUCAGGUAACAUCAAAUCGUACCCCAAACCGACACAGGUGGUCAGGUAGAGAAUACCAAGGCGCUUGAGAGAACUCGGGUGAAGGAACUAGGCAAAAUGGUGCCGUAACUUCGGGAGAAGGCACGCUGAUAUGUAGGUGAAGUCCCUCGCGGAUGGAGCUGAAAUCAGUCGAAGAUACCAGCUGGCUGCAACUGUUUAUUAAAAACACAGCACUGUGCAAACACGAAAGUGGACGUAUACGGUGUGACGCCUGCCCGGUGCCGGAAGGUUAAUUGAUGGGGUUAGCGCAAGCGAAGCUCUUGAUCGAAGCCCCGGUAAACGGCGGCCGUAACUAUAACGGUCCUAAGGUAGCGAAAUUCCUUGUCGGGU
This 1949-nucleotide ribosomal RNA is filed under the name human gut metagenome. Its description in RNAcentral is "bacterial LSU rRNA". It matches the Rfam family "Bacterial large subunit ribosomal RNA", at positions 1 to 1977 of the family's 2925-position model. The record is from RNAcentral.